Molecule: ribosomal RNA, 497 nt
Filed under: uncultured bacterium
Lineage: Bacteria
Description: partial 16S ribosomal RNA
Rfam family: Bacterial small subunit ribosomal RNA
Source: RNAcentral
GAUGAACGCUGGCGGCGUGCCUAAUACAUGCAAGUCGAGCGAACAGACGAGGAGCUUGCUCCUCUGACGUUAGCGGCGGACGGGUGAGUAACACGUGGAUAACCUACCUAUAAGACUGGGAUAACUUCGGGAAACCGGAGCUAAUACCGGAUAAUAUAUUGAACCGCAUGGUUCAAUAGUGAAAGACGGUUUUGCUGUCACUUAUAGAUGGAUCCGCGCCGCAUUUGCUAGUUGGUAAGGUAACGGCUUACCAAGGCUACGAUGCGUAGCCGACCUGAGAGGUUGAUCUGCCAUACUGGAACUGAGACACGGUCCAGACUCCUACGAGAGGCAGCAGUAGGGAAUCGUCCGCAAUGGGCGAAAGCCUGACGGAGCAACGCCGCGUGAGUGAUGAAGUUCUUCGGAUCGUAAAACUCUGUUAUUAGGGAAGAACAAAUGUGUAAGUGACUAUGCACUUCUUGACGUUACCUAAUCAGAAAGCCACGGCUAACUACGUG